ACAAAGGUAGAGCUUAUCUGGACAGAUGACACCCUGCCCAAAACUACAUAUUUUAAUUAUACUUUUUUAGGCUGAAUCAGCGUGUGUCCCAGCAUGCUCUGAGAGGUCAGCUCACUGGGUAUUACAAUAGGCUAAGAAACCUCUUAGAUGUUUUCCCUGGCUUCAGAGACAAGUACCUCCUAACUGGACUAUCUCAAGGAAAAAAGGGGAGCAAGACUUAAAGAAAAACCUUGCAGCUGAUCCCAGGUCCUUCCAUCCUCGACCACACUCUUUGUUGUCUCCAGAUGGAUGCACCUUCCUUAAUUUGUGGUUCAUCCCUCACCCUACUGAAGUGCUGAUCAUGUUCAAAACAAUUCCAGAGAAGGGGGCUCUCAGAGCUCUCCACCUAAGCCUAGAAAUUGUUGGUGCAUUUCAUGACGUGGUUUCAUAUCUCCUGGCUUUUGCUCAAUUAAGAAAUUCUCCAAACUGCUUUUGUGCCUUAAACGCAGAACCUCUGAGCCCAGACUGGGGAGGGACUGACACAAUUGACUGUUGUGUUUCAGGAACAUGCCCACAGCACCACAGAUCUGUCACAAUCUCACAGGAAAGCAACAUACCUACCGGGCUCGGGAGGUCUGCUCUGGCAGGGAGCAGAGAACAUGGUCCAAAAAUUGCUCUUCCGCCUUGCUCUUCCUUCUGUUGAGCCAUCUGGUCAGCCCAUGAUGAGUUUGUCUUUACCAGGAGAUUAAAAAAGCCAGGCUUGGGAUCCUCUAGUAAAUCUGUCACUUGAUUUUCUUUUGAAAGGGUAAAACAGCUGAGGUGUGGGUUAUCCUGAAUGAACAUGUAUUUGUGCAGAAAAUAGUACCUGUUUCCCUAAUAGCUUUCACUUGUUGUUGAUGUUAAACUGCACUGCAGGAGUGGGAUGUGUCUACCUUUCCUUUAGUGGUUAGCAGUGAGCUACUGGUAUCUAACCACCAUUCAGGUGCCGUGCUGUCACUGGACAUCUUUGCUGGACACCAUUACAAAGACACCUUCAGAGGAGUUGCUUGUCCCAAGCUAAAACGUGUUCAAAGUGAGUGGGAUGAAACCCUCUUCGGAGGUGCCUGAGAUUGCAGGAGCCAAGUUAAAAUCGAUGCCUGAUAAUUAGGCAACUAAAGUCACAUGAGAUAAUCCUGUCCCAAGUGCUGAAGUGCCUUUGGCAUUUGACUUUUAAGCCACUGGAUUAUUCCCACAAUGUAGUGAGCUGGAGUUUCAAAACAUGGCAUGUUAUUCGUACCUCCUCCUCAGUGUUGCAUGUCCUGCGUGGCUGGACUGUUCUCCUGCCACCUAGAAAUGCCCACAUUUAUACAUCUGUACAUUUGGUGCUGCUCAGGCACAACUCAGGAGUAAAAACUUUACCUGCACAGCUUCCCUUCUGUCCUGGUGUGUUUUAAAAAAAUGAAAAAUUGAUUAUGACUAUUGGGCAAAAACAUUAAAUUCUUCAAGAAUUGGGAAAAAUAUGUAAAAGACUAGCUUUGUCUUAUAAUGUCUCCAGAUUUUAUGCCUUACAUCUUUUUCUUUUUAUGUAAUAGUCUUAUUAUCAGUUCUGAAUUUAUCUUUCAUUUAAAAUUCAAAAUUUCAUUUUAGAAGGGAAUAAAAUAAAUAAAAUUUCAUUUUAGAAGGGAAAAAUACGUAAAAGACUAGCUUUGUCUUAUAACGUCUCCAGAUUUUAUGCCUUACAUAUUUUUCUUUUUAUGUAAUAGUCUUAUUAUCAGUUCUGAAUUUAUCUUUCAUUUAAAAUUCACAAUUUCAUUUAGAAGGGAAUAAAAAAGGGAAUAAAGGGAAUCCCUUCUAAAUAAUUUCAUUUAGAAGGGAUUCAUUUUAGAAGUGAAUCAUAAAUACUUGUUACAGCUUUUAUUUUAAUACUGUGCUUGUGAGUGUUUGAUUUUGAAGUGGGUUUAUUUUCUCUAACAAAAAGCAGUGCCUGUUCUGCGGUGUGCGCUCACUGUACUGUCAAGUGCGUACUAGUAACUUCGUUUGUAUAUGGCUGAGAAAGCUCGUGUAAAUUAGCAUGUUUAAUGAGCGCUGAAACAAUCAAGAAGACUGAGCUCAGUGAUCAGUGAGAACCCAUAUAACCAGAUGUAGGAGGAAUAUUAUGUGCAAUGUAUUUCAAUUUCAGAUGUAUCCCAUGUGUGCCUAGCUACCACACUUAAAACAGAAAAUAGAGACAAUGAUGGAGUCCUCAGUACUCUGCUGUCUCUAUAAUGCAUUUUGAACAGACAAUUUAACUCCAUUACUCCUGACGAAGAGAUCUUUUUUGUUGCUGCUGCUGCGGAAUAAUUUCCCUCUCCUCCAAAUCAGACCAUUUAACUUCCUUAAGUGAUGGCAGCCCCUGCAGCCCGGCAGAGAGCACAUUGGGUUUCUAUAACAGGUGCUUCCAAGUUAAAUCCCUUCUGCGGUGCCUGUGUCUUUGGAGGCAGUCAAGCCCUGUGUGCACAUUUCCUACAAACGCUAAGUGAGAGCAGGUGCUCUUGUAAGGGUAAUGGCUUGUAGUGACCCAUUGCUUUGAGAAGUUUUUUUGCUAGGCUUAAAGGGAAUAAAAACACCUUAGACCCUCAGCAGAAAAAUAUUCAUUAGCUUGCAGAAUUGAGCCCCAACAGUAUUUUAUAGAAAGCAGCUGAAGAAGUUGUCCCUAUCACUCCCUACCAGGUAAUAACUAGUUUGGGUUCCUGGAGUAAGUAAAAUGCCAUCUCAGGAUCUGAUUCUGCUCCUGUCUGACAAAUUUGAUCUCCAUAUUUUCAGUUGCAAGGGACCUACAAUGAUCAUCUAACCAGAUACGAUAACGAGAAAGAUAUGCCACCGUCCUUGUUGGUAUCUUAUAAUAAUUGAC
Molecule: non-coding RNA, 2848 nt
Organism: Phalacrocorax carbo (great cormorant)
Lineage: Eukaryota; Metazoa; Chordata; Aves; Suliformes; Phalacrocoracidae
Source: RefSeq, a predicted model, not a curated record